RNAcentral lists this ribosomal RNA (427 nucleotides) under uncultured bacterium. Its description in RNAcentral is "bacterial SSU rRNA". It matches the Rfam family "Bacterial small subunit ribosomal RNA", at positions 355 to 773 of the family's 1533-position model. The record is from RNAcentral.
UGGGGAAUUUUGCGCAAUGGACGAAAGUCUGACGCAGCAACGCCGCGUGGGUGAUGAAGGUCUUCGGAUUGUAAAACCCUGUCGUCAGGGACGAAGGUGCGCUCGUGAAUAGCGGGUGUGCUUGACGGUACCUGGCAAGGAAGCCCCGGCUAACUCCGUGCCAGCAGCCGCGGUAAUACGGGGGGAGCAAGCGUUGUUCGGAUUUACUGGGCGUAAAGGGCGCGUAGGCGGCCACCGCAAGUCACUUGUGAAAUCUCCGGGCCUAACCCGGAAAGGUCAACUGAUACUGCGGGGCUAGAGUGCAGAAGGGGCAACUGGAAUUCUCGGUGUAGCGGUGAAAUGCGUAGAUAUCGAGAGGAACACCUGCGGCGAAGGCGGGUUGCUGGGCUGACACUGACGCUGAUGUGCGAAAGCUAAGGGAGCGAAC